UGAGAGAGAGAGUUAGCAGCGCUGCAAAAUGAAGCAUACAUGGUCCGAUCCACCUCGUCCAGGCUUGUGGCUAUUGAUUUCCUCUUCUUCGCCAUAGCUACCAACACUCGAAUUCCACUACAAGAUUUCCCGAUUCCACCGAUAGAUUUUUAUUUUUCCCCUUUCAAUUUAUUCAAUUAUCAUAAAAAUUCACCUAAUUUCCCGUAAAGAAAAAAAAAAAAAUAAUGGAGCGUCUG
RNAcentral lists this unclassified non-coding RNA (236 nucleotides) under Hevea brasiliensis (rubber tree). The record is from RNAcentral. Lineage: Eukaryota; Viridiplantae; Streptophyta; Magnoliopsida; Malpighiales; Euphorbiaceae.